GAGCGGAUGACGGGAGCUUGCUCCUUGAUUCAGCGGCGGACGGGUGAGUAAUGCCUAGGAAUCUGCCUGGUAGUGGGGGACAACGUUUCGAAAGGAACGCUAAUACCGCAUACGUCCUACGGGAGAAAGCAGGGGACCUUCGGGCCUUGCGCUAUCAGAUGAGCCUAGGUCGGAUUAGCUAGUUGGUGGGGUAAUGGCUCACCAAGGCGACGAUCCGUAACUGGUCUGAGAGGAUGAUCAGUCACACUGGAACUGAGACACGGUCCAGACUCCUACGGGAGGCAGCAGUGGGGAAUAUUGGACAAUGGGCGAAAGCCUGAUCCAGUCAUGCCGCGUGUGUGAAGAAGGUCUUCGGAUUGUAAAGCACUUUAAGUUGGGAGGAAGGGCAGUAAGCUAAUACCUUGCUGUUUUGACGUUACCGACAGAAUAAGCACCGGCUAACUCUGUG
This 448-nucleotide ribosomal RNA is filed under the name uncultured bacterium. Its description in RNAcentral is "bacterial SSU rRNA". It matches the Rfam family "Bacterial small subunit ribosomal RNA", at positions 64 to 507 of the family's 1533-position model. The record is from RNAcentral.